Long non-coding RNA from Phragmites australis (common reed), 577 nucleotides. RefSeq lists it as uncharacterized. The record is from RefSeq and is a predicted model, not a curated record. NCBI's taxonomy places the organism in Eukaryota, Viridiplantae, Streptophyta, Magnoliopsida, Poales, Poaceae. The transcript has 3 exons.
CUUCCUGCACGCACUCGCUCCUGAUGGGAGUGCACAGCAUCACAGCACUAUCUUCCUUUUCUUUUCUUUUUUGAGAGGACAGCACUAUCUUUCUUGAUCCUUCCUUGCAUGACAUGCAUACUUUAUGAGAGCAGGAGCCGACCAAAGGAAAGGCUUGCAUCUGCACACACGAAAUUCGCGUUGCUCUGUUUGCUUGGCUUCUUUCUCCUCUGAUCUCUUUCUCCUCCCGUGCUUCCCGAUUAUUUUUGUCCAGCAGCAACGUGCUAGCUUUCCUUGGUUGGCAUGAAAAUCGGCCGAGGAAGAAACUUCUGCCUGACACCACCUGUUUCUCCUCGAUUGGCGUCAAGACCUGAAAGUGUCUCUUUUGCCCAAAGAAAAUCUGCCGGCUGCAGACUUCAAGGCCGUGGUUCUGCGUACCCGAGGAGCAGCCCGGAGCAACGCGCAGCCGCGAGAGGACGCCGUGGAUUGCACGGCCGAGCGCCCCGUCUACUGCCCCAUCGACGCGUUCUGCGGUGCAUAGUUCCAAGCGGUGCUGUGCGCCCUUAUUUUCAUGUGCUACAAGUAUUUCACUUGUUUU